This is a long non-coding RNA of Strigops habroptila (Kakapo), 4735 nucleotides long. Ensembl lists it as uncharacterized. The record is from Ensembl. Lineage: Eukaryota; Metazoa; Chordata; Aves; Psittaciformes; Psittacidae.
GCGCUUCGCGCCAUCAGCCCCCCGUGAGGGCGCCCAACGGUCAUGAAAUCCACAUCUCUACCCCUUCAUUUCUGCACUGCCUCUGCUGCAUGUGUCCCAUCUUGUCUCUUUUCUGUUGGGGUAAGUUGAUUUUCUUGACCCCAUGCUGAGAAGCACGUAGAUUAAAACACGACAAAGAGAAAUGCUCAAGUGCUGUAAAGCCAUUGGAGUUCGAGAAGCAGAUGAUGCCUCACUGGCUCUGCUGACCUCCUGCACUCCAUCUGUGCAUGGUAAGGAGGGAUUUGUGCCUAGAGUUCCCCUUUAAACCAUGCAUGGAUUUGGGUUCUGCAUUGUGGUACCUUCCCUUGUGCAUGUCAGCAGCUGGCUGUGAUUUAAAGCACCAAUCUAGAAGAUGGAAAAGCUUCUGCUCUGUGCAAGCCUGCUAAAUUAUAAUGCAACUGAAAUGUAAUUACUUGAAUCCUGCACAGAGAAUACAAAACAUGGAGGUAGGGAUGUGAGUUUCCCCACUCUAAUUCAAUUUAUUGUGGCUUGCCUUAAAGUGGCCUCAUGUAAAACAUAUAAAGACAACAAAGUUGUUCCACUUUGGUUCUCAAGGUCACUUCCCCCCAGAAGAGCUGAACUAGUUGUUUCAACAAGUUGAAUUAAUCCUCUUACACUGCAAGGAAAGGUUUGACUACAAGAAGUUGUGUUUUCAGAGCAUCUACCUAAUGAUUUGAAACAUUUAGAAGUGAUUUUAUUUAAAGCUAAAAGGAAAACAAACCAUUAGAGAAAGCAGCUCAUCACUAUUGGCUUCCUUUUUGAGCUGUACCCACCCAAAUGGCAUUUAUCCCUCACUAGUUAAUAAGAAAUACAGGCAACAAGCACAGUAAUCAGUGAGGAAACAAUCCACAUAGCCCCCUAUAGUCCUUACUAUGCAUUUACUAAGAGGUACAUCAAGUGUUUGAAAAGGGGAGCUUUCCAGUUCGUGAAAAACCCAUUUAGCAAAGCUAUGCUGUGGGGUAGGGAAGGGAAAAUGAGGUCUGGGUGCAACAGUGCCUGCAGGGAAAACACUUCACCACUUACAGCAGCAUCCCCAGCCUCCAUUCUAACAGUAUUUAUUAACACUGCUGCUUCUGAUGGUGUCUUGAGAUGAAAAUCAACCAGGAGGGUUCAGCACGUCACAAGGUCAGAUGUAAACUGCCUCUUUGCAAGCUUUUUGCAGGCUGAGAAAGGUGGUUGUCAUUCUUCUUGUGCUACUGUGGAGUCCUGGCCCUUAAGCCAAGCAGCCAAGUGGUUGUAGUACCAGUACCAUGGCCCAGCUCCCAGGCAAGUACCAGUGCAGCAGAGCUGCUCUUUGCAUUGCAGCACUUCAUUAUUGGAGCAUUUCCCAGGAAACCACAUUGGAUACAUGCAGUUCAGCCUCACAUCCAGGUCAACUACUUCACCUGGAUUAUUCUUCAGUUAAUACCUUCAUUUCUUCUUCAAGAAGGACUUUCAGCCAUGAUCAGCCUUAAGUACUUGGGAAGUACUUGACUCUGUUGGCUCAUUUUCCAUUCCAGUUGAGGUGUCACCACUCUCCAGUUCUGGUUAAGCAGCAGCAUUGUCUGGAGUAACAAGUGAUCUGUGCACCACUGCAAAGUCAACACAGAGGCUGUUUGGCUUUCCUCUCCAUUAAGCAAACUGGGAUGACUCACAAAACUAUUACCAAAGCUUUUUGCUAUUUGAGGUCUCACUAGACAGUUGACUAGAAGUCAAGCAUUCUCUAUAUUUUGGCAUUAUAAUGAUGUCUUCAAAGAAUAAGCAUCAUUUUAUAGGAUUUAAAGCAUUUUAGGAGGUUUCCCCAUCUCCAGCCCUAGGAAAGGAUUUUUAAUGCACAUCCCUUUGAUAAUUGCAUUUUAAGAAGCAAUGAGAAGAUGAUACAUGAUAUAAAAGACACUCUUACCCAGCCUGUGUUGGGAAAAGGAGAAGUUUAGGGACAUUCCUCCUGUUUCUGGAUACACUUAGUAGAUGAAGAGAGCCAACACGGACAAAGCUUUAGUUAGGAUUUACAGUGGAUGUUCAGAGAACAACUACAUUUAAGAAAUGAUAUUUUAUGAUCUGAUUUAGUGGAUGUGCCAAACAAACAUUCUGUUUAUCAGGGCUUUUUUUUUUUUCAGAGCAUUAAAACAGGAAUGCCCUCCCUGGGAAAACUCAGGAUUAUCUUUUCAACACGUCCAAAGGUAUUGCUCUGUCAGAUGCUCACUCUGCCUCCUUCCCCAGCAUUUACCAACCAAGAACACUGACCUCAUAGUUGGCAGGGGAGUUCUGAAGCCACCGAGUCCAUCACAGCCCCCACAGUUGAUAACCUGAGCAGGCUUUCUCAUAGGAACAACUGAGACUUUUCUUCUUACAACCUUGAAGAAGAGACUAAAAACAGCACUGAAGACAAGGGUUGUUUUUUCUCAAGGUCCAUUCCUCCUUACUUGUUCUUGUGCCAACGUUCUCAUGCAGUUUAAAUAGGGGACUUUUUCUUUCCUUCAUGUGUAUUUAUAGACAGCAGUGAUACCCAUUCCUAAAGUUGAUUUUGUCAGACUACUUAAAUUUCUUUCAUCUUCGCCCAUGUAGCACAUUUCCCAUCUGACUCACUACCCCCAUGCUAUAGUGGUGCAACAGUACUUUUAAGCUUUCAUCUUAUGCAGUGUGUUUUCUAAAGCAGCUAUAGAAGCCCUGAUUGAUUUUUAAGAGUAAAAGCUUCCCCUGGGUAAUCUCUAGCUCUUAUCCAAAAGCCUAGAUCUGUAAGCUUGGGGAAGUACUCACCAGCUCCAGUGUCAUCCUUCAGCACCUGCACAAGGUGAGCAAUGCUGACCUGGAAACAGCAGUCAGGAUGGUUUCAAUAUCCAGGUCAGCAGGCAAGAGAAAGAGAAUGAGGCAGGUCUCAGGGCCAGACAGGAAUUAGCUGUAGAUCAUGCUGUGGGCUGGUGAGGACAGUCAGGAUUAGCCAAAACCCAGUGGUCACUUGCCAAAUCCACAGCAAUGAGGCUAAUUGAAGAGGAAGCUGGGAUGGAAAACUGGAGAUCCAUAGCCAAAACCAAACCCCUACACUGCACGGCAAGCACUGAAACAAGGAGUUCCUAGGCUUGGCUUAAAUAGAGCUCCUGGCCUGUGGUGGAGGCCCCAGGUGAAGCUGCUCAGGGUCAGUGAGAUUUGUAAGUGCCUCCAGGCACCCACAGGGUGUUACUUAGGUGUGGUAGGAAAGGCUUUGUCUCUGCAGCAGCUCUGCUUUGGGGUAAAGUAAUUCUGUUGCUUUUUUUCUUAAGCUUUGCUUUAGAGUUUGUCUUAAAUGUAAUAUUUUCAAUGUUUGUUGAAAGCCUAUGGGUUUAGUUGAAGAAAAAGUAGCUUAUCACUUUGGAGACUGCUUCAUGUGUUGCUCUUCUCCUCAGCUCUGAGUCUUUACUGCCCAUGUUCUUAAGUUUAUCCUGUUUCUCCUACCACAGCAAUUACAAAAUCAAACGCUUGACAGCCAAAAUCCCACUGAAACUUCCUCAUAGGCUUCCAGAAUUUUAGAGUUAAGUAGAAACAACUUAUUUGCAAUACAGAUGAUCUUCUGUUGCUGUGAAUGCUUCUGAUGUAGGGGACUGUGGUCUUUCAGAGCACCUCACGCUGUAGCAAGCCCUGUGUGAGCAGCCACCAGCAGCAGCGUGGGGCUGCAUUGAUUUAGAUGUCAUUCUCAAUUGCAUUCAAAAUGUUUUUUGCAGAGCAGCUCUUUGCACUUGGCUGGGUCCUUGAAGAGGAUGUUUGCUGCAGCACAAGAGAAAUAUUUACUGUGGAGUAAACUGGGAAUCAUGGAAAAGAAAGUGAGACGGAAGACAUUCCUUUUGAAAUUGGGAAGUGAAUUAAAGGUCCUUGUCAAGAUGACACUUCCUUGCAUACCUUUUUAGCCUUUCCAGUCAGCAGAGGAGCUGGCAAACAGUUCUCUUAUGGCUCAUGGUUUGGUUGCCUUGAUAUCCAAAUGACUGAUCCUGCCAUCUACAGAGACUAAAUGACGCUCUUGCCAUCACAGUGGACUAGAAGAGAUGAAGAUGGCAGGAUCCUUCAGCCCCUUGUGGGAAGAUGCUACAAUGUAAGAAGGUGUCAUGUCUAAAAAUGUUCUUGCCACUGAAACCAGUAGGAUCUUCUGUGGUUACAUCUUCAAGGUGGGAGUUUGCCAUGCCUCACGUGAUUGAAGGAAGUUCUCUGUGUGAAAGCCAAAGAAAAUGCUAAGAAGGCACUAAUAAGUGUUUGUCAUGAGUAUGGAAGGCUACUGUAUCAGCAGCUUGGUAGCUCUUUGUUCUAAAGGGCUUGAUUAUUUAAUUUCUUUCUAUAAAAGUAAUGUGGUGAAAUUGAAACAGUGUGAAAUUAAAACGGUAUCGAUGCAGAUUUGGCACCAUUGGUUUUGAAGUCUGAAAUAGGUCCUUAAAUAGCGCGAUCGGCUGUGGCAGAACAUGUGCAUGGGAAGAAGUCAGAGGCACGGCUGUUGAACCAACUGGUGCACAGACUGGAGAAGGUGGUGAUGAAGAUUGCGAUGAUGAUGGUGAUGAUGAUGGUUAUGAUGCUGUAUUGUAGAGAUGUGUCUAUUAACACAUAGGAAGAGCUUUGCCGUGUUCACACAGGUUUGUGGUGUGUGUAGUGCCCAGUGAGCAUCUGCCCUCUGUGUUGGUGACAGGAUGAAGCAACUGGUGAUUGUUAUACACCAGCUGUGGUUUAAGGAGAAAAAGAAAUAAAAACCUACCAAGCACAA